Molecule: unclassified non-coding RNA, 368 nt
Filed under: Melitaea cinxia (Glanville fritillary)
Lineage: Eukaryota; Metazoa; Arthropoda; Insecta; Lepidoptera; Nymphalidae
Description: misc RNA ENSMCXG00005004597.1
Source: RNAcentral
CAUUCAUGCGUACGGUCGUACGAGUGAAUGGGGAGCCGCGAGCAGAUACAGUCGGCUGGCGAUCGGCCGCGCGCACGCCGCGCAGCGCAGCCGCCUGCGCCCCGCGAGUGACUCCGAGCCAUUGCCGGCCAAGCUGCCAGUCGCGCAGCCACACACCAGCUCACCAGUCACCAGUAACAAUUGGAAGUACACGGUACAGCUAUCAACGUUAUCGGCGUCACAGAACAAGACUUCGUUGAUAUCUCGCUCGAACAAAGCGCGUGCCAAAUGCCAGCAACAAAAAACCACUCCGGAACACUGUUUCAUUGAUAAGAUAAGGUAUCCACAAAGAGAUAACAGAAACUUAUCCGUGUUUUAAAAGAAUUACG